GAGCCGUGUCACAUCGAGCCACUGUCACUUGGAUGGCGUUUGAGGAAAUGUUGGAUUGUUUGCAGUGAUUAUUAAAUUAGCUGCAUGCAUUGGUCAUACUUUGAUGGCAUUGAAGAAUUGUGCAAACAAAGAGGGGAAAGUGGCUGCGAGCAUCUACGCAAAAUAAAAUGCCUUGUACUGAAAACAAGUCUUGUACGAAGAACCGAGCUUGCUGCAAAAAAAAUGAUGACGAGUGAAGAAACUGAAAAAAAACUUAGGAGACUUGGGAGACGGCUCAAUACUUGGCUGCUUUGAAUGCUGAUUGAUGCAGGUGUUGUACAAAAUGAAGAACUUUCACUGGACUUGGUUGCUGACGAUGCCUUUCCAUAAGACGAUGAAUUCUGGCCCACACUUGACUUUGUUUGAUGACUUGGAUGCUGAUGAUGCUUUUCCACAAAUGAUGAAGACUUUCUGGACUUGGAUGAUGCCUUUGGUGAUGACUACUCGGUGUACUUGCUUUAAUCGACCUGAUUAAAAUACUUGGACACUUUGGAUGGUCUCCCAGACUUUGAUGCCGAUGAUGUCUUCUACAAAAUGAUCCAGACUUGCCAAUUCAGGCUUCGCUAACUGAUUGCUGCGUUUUUUCCAACCGACCUGAUUAAAUAUUGAUGGAUUGAAGACUUGGAUACUUGCAUCGUCUUCCAGACUUUGCUGUCAAUGAUGUUCUUCCACAAAUGCAAGAUUUUCAAGACUUGGCAAAUCAAGCUUUGCUGACUAUUUGGUGCGUUCGAAAUUGUAAGUUCUUAAAUUUAAGACUUAGAAUUUCGAACGCAGCAAAUAGUCAGCAAAGCAGGAUUUGAUAAGUCUGUAUUGCAUUUGUGGAAGAAGAACAUUAUCGACAGCAAAAUUUCAAAGUGUGGCAAAUGAAGACUUAGCAGACUGCACUCGCUUCAAUUGACCUGAUCGAUCAUUAUGUUCCUGCAGACUUUGAUGCCGAUGAUGUCUCCGACAAAUGAUCCAGACUUACCAAAUGAAUCUAGGCUGACUAGUUCGUGGCUUUUGCUGCAAUCAACCUGAUAAAAAAUAAAACUUUCAUGUUUAUUUGUUAGUUUGUUUAUGUGUUUGUUCACAGAUCGAUCGAUUGAUUGAUGAUGGA
Long non-coding RNA from Ctenocephalides felis (cat flea), 1135 nucleotides. RefSeq lists it as uncharacterized. NCBI's taxonomy places the organism in Eukaryota, Metazoa, Arthropoda, Insecta, Siphonaptera, Pulicidae. The record is from RefSeq and is a predicted model, not a curated record. The transcript has 8 exons.